Molecule: unclassified non-coding RNA, 240 nt
Filed under: soil metagenome
Description: partial contains 5.8S ribosomal RNA, internal transcribed spacer 2, and large subunit ribosomal RNA
Source: RNAcentral
AACUGAUACUACCUGCGGGAACCUGCGGAAGGAUCAUUACCGAGUUUACAACUCCCAAACCCAAUGUGAACGUUACCAAACUGUUGCCUCGGCGGGAUCUCUGCCCCGGGUGCGUCGCAGCCCCGGACCAAGGCGCCCGCCGGAGGACCAACCAAAACUCUUUUGUAUACCCCCUCGCGGGUUUUUUUAUAUCUGAGCCAUCUCGGCGCCUCUCGUAGGCGUUUCGAAAAUGAAUCAAAA